AAUCAACGCUGGCGGCGCGCUUAACACAUGCAAGUCGCACGAGAAAGGGAGCAAUCCUGAGUAAAGUGGCGUACGGGUGAGUAACACGUGGGAAUCUACCUCUUGGCGGGGAAUAACCCUGGGAAACCGGGGCUAAUACCGCAUAAGCUCGUGAGAGGAAAGCAGCAAUGCACCGAGAGAGGAGCCCGCGGCCGAUUAGCUAGUUGGUGGGGUAAUGGCUCACCAAGGCGAAGAUCGGUAGCCGGCCUGAGAGGGCACACGGCCACACUGGCACUGAAACACGGGCCAGACUCCUACGGGAAGCAGCAGUGGGGAAUCUUGCACAAUGGGGGAAACCCUGAUGCAGCGACGCCGCGUGAGCGAUGAAGCCCUUCGGGGUGUAAAGCUCUUUCGACAGGAACGAUAAUGACGGUACCUGGAGAAGAAGCUGCGGCUAACUACGUG
RNAcentral lists this ribosomal RNA (444 nucleotides) under uncultured bacterium. Its description in RNAcentral is "partial 16S ribosomal RNA". It matches the Rfam family "Bacterial small subunit ribosomal RNA", at positions 29 to 507 of the family's 1533-position model. The record is from RNAcentral.